RNAcentral lists this ribosomal RNA (429 nucleotides) under Bacteroidota bacterium. RNAcentral describes it as "Bacteroidetes bacterium partial 16S ribosomal RNA". It matches the Rfam family "Bacterial small subunit ribosomal RNA", at positions 355 to 776 of the family's 1533-position model. The record is from RNAcentral. Lineage: Bacteria; Pseudomonadati; Bacteroidota.
UAGGGAAUCUUCCGCAAUGGACGCAAGUCUGACGGAGCAACGCCGCGUGAGUGAAGAAGGAUUUCGGUUCGUAAAACUCUGUUGUUAGAGAAGAACAGCGCAUAGAGUAACUGUUAUGCGUGUGACGGUAUCUAACCAGAAAGCCACGGCUAACUACGUGCCAGCAGCCGCGGUAAUACGUAGGUGGCAAGCGUUGUCCGGAUUUAUUGGGCGUAAAGCGAGCGCAGGCGGUCAAUUAAGUCUGAUGUGAAAGCCCCCGGCUCAACCGGGGAGGGUCAUUGGAAACUGGUUGACUUGAGUGCAGAAGAGGAGAGUGGAAUUCCAUGUGUAGCGGUGAAAUGCGUAGAUAUAUGGAGGAACACCAGUGGCGAAGGCGACUCUCUGGUCUGUAACUGACGCUGAGGCUCGAACGCGUGGGUAGCAAACAGG